GUUUCACAGUCCAACUUAUUUCCAACUAAGAGAAGUUCUGCAUCUUCUGAAGCAUACUGUGGAGUUUUAGAAGAAGCUGCAUUUCAAAGUUGUAUUCUUCAGUAGAGUCAAGGAGAAGCAGAGCAGUUACGCCGGGGAAUGCAUUUACUUCCCAGAGAAAUAAUGAUUUUCGGAGUGUCCUGUGCCUUUCCUAGAACUGUCCCAGCAUGCUUUUCCCCACAGGUGGGAGUCACAGGGAUACAGAUUUUAUAAGGUGUCCUUCAAUCUCGGACAUGAUAUUUCUACUAAGGGAGAGGAUUUCCAGCGUCUUCAUGGAGUAGAGAGUGGGAAAAUAAAUUAAGAAAGGAGUCAAAGUCACACAGAGAGAGGUCAAUUUAACAUUGGAAAACAAGUCGCCAGCACGUGGGGCCAGUCUUCUGCCCAAAUACCACCUACCAGAGGAGAGUACAACCUAAGUCCCCAGAGGAAAGCACCAUGUAAAGAAAAAAAGGAUUCAAUGACGAUCCAACGCAAGAGAAACCAAGUGCUACGACUGUAAAAUACCCAGCAGAAGGUACUAGUAUUAAAAUGGAAAAAUGAUGGUAUGACAUUAGAAAUGCUCACUGGGCCAAGGACAUGAA
Mustela lutreola (European mink) is the source of this 620-nucleotide long non-coding RNA. RefSeq lists it as uncharacterized. NCBI's taxonomy places the organism in Eukaryota, Metazoa, Chordata, Mammalia, Carnivora, Mustelidae. The transcript is spliced from 3 exons. The record is from RefSeq and is a predicted model, not a curated record.